Molecule: ribosomal RNA, 425 nt
Filed under: uncultured bacterium
Lineage: Bacteria
Description: partial 16S ribosomal RNA
Rfam family: Bacterial small subunit ribosomal RNA
Source: RNAcentral
GUAGGGAAUCUUGCGCAAUGGGCGAAAGCCUGACGCAGCCAUGCCGCGUGAAUGAUGAAGGUCUUAGGAUUGUAAAAUUCUUUCACCGGGGACGAUAAUGACGGUACCCGGAGAAGAAGCCCCGGCUAACUUCGUGCCAGCAGCCACGGUAAUACGAAGGGGGCUAGCGUUGCUCGGAAUUACUGGGCGUAAAGGGAGCGUAGGCGGAUAGUUUAGUCAGAGGUGAAAGCCCAGGGCUCAACCUUGGAAUUGCCUUUGAUACUGGCUAUCUUGAGUAUGGAAGAGGUAUGUGGAACUCCGAGUGUAGAGGUGAAAUUCGUAGAUAUUCGGAAGAACACCAGUGGCGAAGGCGACAUACUGGUCCAUUACUGACGCUGAGGCUCGAAAGCGUGGGGAGCAAACAGGAUUAGAUACCCGGGUAGUCC